UACGUAGGGGGCGAGCGUUGUCCGGAUUUACUGGGCGUAAAGGGCAUGCAGGCGGUCCGACACGUUUUGUGUGACAGCGGGUGGCUUAACUACCCGAGGAUACGAAAGACGGUUGGACUUGAGGACUCGAGAGGGACACGGAAUUCCGGGUGGAGUGGUGAAAUGCGUAGAGAUCCGGAGGAACACCGAAGGCGAAGGCAGUGUCCUGGCGAGUGACUGACGCUGAGGUGCGAAAGCCAGGGGAGCGAACGGG
This 253-nucleotide ribosomal RNA is filed under the name uncultured bacterium. Its description in RNAcentral is "partial 16S ribosomal RNA". It matches the Rfam family "Bacterial small subunit ribosomal RNA", at positions 524 to 776 of the family's 1533-position model. The record is from RNAcentral.